UACGGAGGAUCCAAGCGUUAUCCGGAUUCAUUGGGUUUAAAGGGUGCGUAGGUGGCUUGUUAAGUCAGUGGUGAAAUCUCCGAGCUUAACUCGGAAACUGCCAUUGAUACUGAUGAGCUUGAGUGUAUUUGAAGUGGGCGGAAUAUGACAUGUAGCGGUGAAAUGCUUAGAUAUGUCAUAGAACACCAAUUGCGAAGGCAGGUUACUACUAAUGGAUUGACGCUGAUGGACGAAAGCGUGGGUAGCGAACAGG
This 253-nucleotide ribosomal RNA is filed under the name uncultured bacterium. RNAcentral's name for it is "partial 16S ribosomal RNA". It matches the Rfam family "Bacterial small subunit ribosomal RNA", at positions 524 to 776 of the family's 1533-position model. The record is from RNAcentral.